This 254-nucleotide ribosomal RNA is filed under the name uncultured Bacteroidales bacterium. Its description in RNAcentral is "partial 16S ribosomal RNA". It matches the Rfam family "Bacterial small subunit ribosomal RNA", at positions 524 to 776 of the family's 1533-position model. The record is from RNAcentral. Lineage: Bacteria; Pseudomonadati; Bacteroidota; Bacteroidia; Bacteroidales.
UACGGAGGGCGCGAGCGUUAAUCGGAAUUACUGGGCGUAAAGCGCGCGUAGGCUGUUGUGUAAGUCAGCGGUGAAAUGCCCCCGCUCAACGGGGUGAAGUGCCAUUGAUACUGCCUUGCUGGAAUGCGGAUGCCGUGGGAGGAAUGUGUGGUGUAGCGGUGAAAUGCAUAGAUAUCACACAGAACACCGAUUGCGAAGGCAUCUCACGAAUCCGCGAUUGACGCUGAUGCACGAAAGCGUGGGUAUCAAACAGG